This 327-nucleotide long non-coding RNA is filed under the name Linum usitatissimum (flax). RNAcentral describes it as "long non-coding RNA (LUSI_LNC007143)". Lineage: Eukaryota; Viridiplantae; Streptophyta; Magnoliopsida; Malpighiales; Linaceae. The record is from RNAcentral.
CGUACUCUUCGAUAAGGCUGGCCAAUUCCUCAUCUGAUUUGAUCGAAACCAGUCUCCAGAUCUUUGUUCAGCAAUUGACACCUCAAUUCCACUGACUGACCGCAAAACUCAGUGAUCUUAAUCAACAACUCCGCGAAUGAAAGGGAGCGGUCCACCACAAGCACUCUGAUGUGCCUGCCCACGUAAUGAAGCUAUCCGCCAGAGGGACGUGGAACAAUAUUUCUGUCGUACCUGCAGAGGUACUUGACGGUGGUCUUGGAGAGCGUGGUGGUGUUCUUAGACGAGUGAUUCUUACUGACCAUGGCUAGUGAGUAGUGAAUAACUGAG